CCCACAUUGAAAGUUUAUGACCAAAAUGGCACAUCGUGAGCAGCCCGCCUCGUGCAGAUUGACUGCCCUAUGGGUUGUAAACUGCUUUUAUACGGGAAAAAAAAGCCCGACGUGUCGGGUGUUGACGGUACUGUAACAAUAAGGAUCGGCUAACUCCGUGCCAGCACCCGCGGUAAUACGGAGGAUCCAAGCGUUAUCCGGAAUCAUUGGGUUUAAAGGGACCGUAGGCGGAACAAUAAGUUAGUGGUGAAAGUCUGCACCUCAACUGUAGAAUUGCCAUUGAUACUGAUGUUCUUGAAUGCUUGUGAAGUGAAUAAAAUGAGUAUUGUAGCGGUGAAAUGCAUAGAUAUUACUCAGAAUACCGAUUGCGAAGGCAGAUCUCUAGCAAUUCACUGACGCUGAUGGUCGAAAGCGUAGGUAGCGAACAGGAUUAGAUACCCUGGUAGUCUACGCCGUAAACGACGGGUACUAGCUGUUAGGGUCAUGGAGAUCUAGGGCUCAGCUAACACAUCAGUAUCCUCCUGGUUCGCCGGGUAUGAAACAGGCCGGAACGUUUU
Molecule: ribosomal RNA, 557 nt
Filed under: uncultured bacterium
Lineage: Bacteria
Description: bacterial SSU rRNA
Rfam family: Bacterial small subunit ribosomal RNA
Source: RNAcentral